GCCUGGGUGGCUCAGUUGGUUGAGCAUCUGACUUCAACUCAGGUCAUGAUAUCGUGGUUUGUGAGUUCGAGCCCCGCGUUGGGUU
This 85-nucleotide transfer RNA is filed under the name Felis catus (domestic cat). It matches the Rfam family "tRNA". Rfam says of the family: Transfer RNA (tRNA) molecules are approximately 80 nucleotides in length. Their secondary structure includes four short double-helical elements and three loops (D, anti-codon, and T loops). Further hydrogen bonds mediate the characteristic L-shaped molecular structure. tRNAs have two regions of fundamental functional importance: the anti-codon, which is responsible for specific mRNA codon recognition, and the 3' end, to which the tRNAs corresponding amino acid is attached (by aminoacyl-tRNA synthetases). tRNAs cope with the degeneracy of the genetic code in two manners: having more than one tRNA (with a specific anti-codon) for a particular amino acid; and 'wobble' base-pairing, i.e. permitting non-standard base-pairing at the 3rd anti-codon position. Lineage: Eukaryota; Metazoa; Chordata; Mammalia; Carnivora; Felidae. The record is from Rfam by way of RNAcentral.